GCUACUACUGCUCAUACUUCACUGAUUCCAGCAUAUGUUGCUCUCCAGCAACCGUUGAAUACUGGGAAAUACAUUUCUGAAGUCAGUGGCAUUUGACAGGAGUUGGUUCAAGGGAGGUGUAUGGAGAAGUGGCGUUCCUGGGGAGGGAAUAACGUUGUGCAUACAUUACAAAGUAAUGUCUCCUAGUGGAUGUUGGUGGCAGCAAAGUCUUAGCCAGCAAGCCUCUGAAUGCUGUUUUGGGACUGCUUUCAGGUUCAAGUUGAUACUCUUUUACCAUCUGGAGUGAUUAAUUCUCCAUAGCUCAAGUGCACUGUUUGAAAAAGUUCCCCAAGCACCCCUGCCUAACUUCUUGCUAUCUCAUCAUUUGAGAUGGAUAGUCAGCUGCUGCUGAAGCCUAAAUUAUAGGCAUUCAAGCUGGCUUAGCUGACAGGUACAUUAAAAGUGUACAAAGCAGUCAACCUUUAGCUCAGUCUUUCAUACAAAGAUUCAGCCUUCAAAUAUGGGACAGCAUUGCAAGUAUUUUUUCCAGUUGGGGAAUUUUUUGCUGCUGCUACAUUGUCUUACAAGUUUAGUGUGGAUGACAUGGGCAGGAGAUGCAAUUUGUACAGGUUAGAGGCUAGUAGAAGAAAAGCUUGUCCCUGUUUGGAACAAGCAACCAACAGGGAAGUUGGCAGUGAUAUUGGGCAAGAGCUUGUGCAGGAAGGGAAAUCAUCAGAGGCUCUCUGGACAUGGAGCAACUGUCAGUAUUGGCAGUGGACUGCAUGAACUCUUAAUUGGUUAAGAGUCUAAGCUCCCUGGUCUCCAUACUUUCAGGACUGCUCAGAUAGGCAGUAUCUACAUCCAUGGCAAAUGAAUCUGAGAAAUACUGGAUAUUCGUAUUUGUAGAUUUCACUCAGCAAUGCAGUCUUUCUAGUUCCUAGAAUGUUUCUUUUGUAUGUACUCUAUGGCCAUGGUGACUCUUUUUGGGGGAGUCUCCUACAUCCUUAUGAUAACACAUGUAGAUCCUGCUGCUGAUAUGUCUGGCUCAAGCAUUAGUACAGCUAAUCACAAAUAAGGAAAUGUCUCAGAGAAGGGGAAGGGAGAAUCCUCUUCUGAAGCUGUCUUAAUCCUGGAAAUCUUGAGCAGAAGAGAGCAGAAACUGUGGCUGAAUCUCAGUGAUGAUGCUGUGAUGCUGGAACUUCUGAGAUAAGAAAAUAUAUCCAAGCAGCUGUUUGGAAGCUAACAUUUGAAGGACCAGCUGGAUCCAGAGUGAGAAGUUGUGAACAAACAGUGUGAGAAUACUUGGAAUAGUUAGAUAAAUUUAUCCUUGUUUCACCAGAAGCUAUUGGAUAUAGAUGGAAUAAAGGUAUAGGAUAUUUGGGGUUUUCCACUGUAUGUAUAAUUAAAAUAAAGCUAAAAGUUCAGCUUUCCUUAAAUGUUUCUCUUGGUGCUAUGUACAUAAUUCGUAAGCUUUUCCAUAGCAAUGUACUUGGGUCCCAUUUUAAGCAGUUGUUGUCAUUUAAUUAAGAAAAGCAGUUAAAAUGUAACAAAAGCUACUGUGUGAAAAAAGUUCUAGAGGCUUUUUUUUCCUCUGUUGUGUAGGUCUGAUCUUCAAAGAUGCUGGUAGCUAAAAUGAAUGUAUCCUUCUUGGCUUACUUGAGAAGCUUAUGUAAAAUAAGAAAUGGAAACCAGGAUAUUUUUGGAUGGUUUGUUCAGCUCUGCAUUAUAAGAGCAGAUGAAAUUGCAAAAAGAUAAAUUUUGGAAGCAUUAAAUUAUUUUUAACUCUAUUUCUUGUAAAGCAAUCCUAAAAUUGCUUUCAUUCCUAUAGAUAGCUUUCUGUUCAAUACCAAAUCUUUUAGAAGUAUAGCAAAAUACAAAAUGAUGAUGAGGGCAUCGGAACUGUGAAAUGCUGUAUUGCAUCUUGUCUUUGAAUGGGUGUUGUGUGACUGUGCAGAAACACUGCAAUGUGAUUCCCCUAUGUCUUUCAUUUGAAUGUGAGGAGAAGGAGGAGGAGAAAUAGGACACAGUUAGAGAUUGCAAAGUAACUAUGUUAAAAUCUUGUCACCAGAGCACAUGCUCUAAUCCCAAGUCAAGUUGUCACUUGAACAGGUUGCCCAGAGAAGAUGUGGGUGUCUCCUCUCUGGAAGUGUUAAAGGCUAGGCUGAAUGGAGCUCUAAGAAGCCUGGUCUAGUGAAAGGAACCCAUGACAGCAGGGUUGGAAGUAGAUGAUUGUUAAGGUCCCUGCCAACCCAGGCCAUUCUAUGGUUCUACAAGGCCCUGCCAGCUGUACCUAGUUGCCAAGACCAUAUUUAAAAGCUUGCAGUGUCCUCCCAGGCAUCCUUUUCUGUGAGGUCCCCUGUGAAAGGGUAAUAGCAUAGAUUAGUUGAUUUGGCAAAACAACCUCUAGCUGCCUUUUUUUUUUUUUGCCUUCAGUCACUCUUCUAUUAAGUUUGAUAUUUUCCAUGGCAUUUUGGAAAUGGUAGAAAUGUUCUUGUCAGUUCAUCCAUAAUAAACUUUGUUUCCUGGAAAGAUAUGCUUUUACUCUAUAUGAUGAGCCUUGCUGUGCCAAGCCUGUUUGAUAUGUCCGAUUACUCAGCAAAGAAAAGACUGUGACACAUGGCACUGUACUCUUGUGUCUUAAAUAGUGUUGGCAUGUUUCUGCUGUUAAGAACUUGUAUAGUAUAUAUACUUCUGUACUGAAUGUCACUGCUCCACUGGAUGGCAGGUGUUGGUUGGAAAUUCUGUGUUAUUGCACAGAAGUUGACUUAAAAUGUCAAAAGUAGAGUUAAGAUUUGACCUACAUUCACAAUAACAGAUUUAAUUUUUCUUUUCUCAAAAUACAAUGCCAUUGCAUUUUAACAUUAACAUUGUAUUUUGACAAUACAUUGCACUAUUUUGGUCAUUGCAUAGUGGAGAGAUUUUGGGGUGUGUGAGACUUACCUGUGGAGGGAGGCAAGAUUCUCUUGGUAAUAAUAGGUUGGUUUAGCUUAUUGGAGCAUGUAAAGCAAAAAAUGAACCUUAUUGCUGAGUGAACACACUGCGACAGAACUGAAGUCUGUUUUGUAGACAAGACUGCUCUAGCAUUGCAGGGUGUGUGCUUGCUUCAGUCAUACCUGCAGCUCUGCUUGGGGCACGCUCCAGUUCAGAACUUUAAUGUUCUUUAACAUGUCUUGGGGUUUUUUUGUCAUUUGUUAUAAAGAAAAGCUUCUCAAAUCAGUUCUGUGGCACUGUUUACUAGUCAGCAGUAUUGUAUUCCACCUUGCAUGGGCUGAGCUUGCCUCUCAGCCCUUCAGAACUCACGUUGAGGGCAGAGCUGUCAGUGAAUUGAGCAUUGCAGGAUCAGACCCUACAGUGAGCCAAAGGCUUGUCUUUGGGGUAUCAAUUUUCUUAUGAUUAGAAAUGCUCUCAAAGAUAUUGGUGGAUUAAUACAGUUCACUUUUAGAGUUCUAUAUAUACCGUGGAUAUAUGUAAACAUGUGCUUGUGUGUAAUGUAGCAUGUGCCAUACAUCUCAUUUCCUUUAAGACUUGAAGGCAGAAUUUGCUUUGUUGAAGUCUGAGGUCAAUAAAACUAAGGGCUGAUGUUUUUCUUCAGUUCCAUGACUUACUGCUGCUCCGUGAAAGCCUGGUGGCUCACUUUUAUCACUGUAUGAUGGUGAACUAAUGGCAUCUCUUAACUGACUCUCAAGUCCUGCAUUUCUCAUCAGUUUUCAUUCUUAGUGUAGCUCAGGCAGCACUCAUAGUGUCAAAAAGAAAUAAAUACUUCAGCCAGAUGAGUUUAUUUAGGGCAGAUUGUCUCCUUCUGGCACUAUAUAUAUUAGCACUUAAAUCAAUGCAUUAGCUCUUAAGAAAAAGCAAGGGGAAGGAGAACAAAUGUGAAAUAGUUUUUGCCUGAAUGCAGCCUAGAGAAAGCUCCAUUCCUGAGUAGGAAAUGUUGAGUUACAACAGUUUAAUGCUCGCAUAAGAUACAUGGAGAACUUAAAUGUUGGCUGGUUUGUGUUAUGUCUGCAGUGUAACCUGUGCCAUGGCAUGAUCAGCACCUUGUUCAUAGGUGAUGUAGCUUGAAGUAGAAACCCUGUUCUACUGACAUUUAUUAACCUUGUGUUUUUACUCAGUAAUACAAUUAAUGGAUAAAUAUUGUCUCCCUAAUUUAUGAAACAGCUAUAUUAGAUAAAGAUCUAGACUUUUUAUUAUUAUUUUGAACCAGGGUUUGAGCAAAACAGUGUAGAUUUCUAUGCAGAAAGUUUAGAAAAUUUUAAAACUAGCUAUGCUAUAGGAAUGUCUCAGGAAAUACCUAGUGGAAAUAAAACAGCAUGGCUGUUCAAUGUAUAUACUUGUACAGUUAGUCUCCUAAGUUCUUUGAGGAUUUAGGACAAGAACAAUUUUCAGGAAUUCUUAGUGGGCAGACCUGAAGCAAAACAUCAUGGUAAAUGCCAUGUCCAGUUAAGUCAUGAAGUAUACUAAAUAAUCAGAUGUGAUCUUUGUUGCAAUUUGCUUAUUGUUCUGAUACCUCUAUUGUUUAGAGGUGUCAAAGGUUUUUAAAUAGGGUAUGGUUUCUACACUUACACAGAACAUGCAAGUAGAAUAGAUGAUCUUAACAGUGUGGUGUUAGGAUUCCUGUGUGGUUGAUUCAGUAAAUGGCACUGUGAUCUCCAACAGCUCUGAUUUUCUUAAAGUAAUCCUGUAACCUCUGUCAAAAAUGUUGUAAAGACAAACAAUGCAGUGUCUCCAACUAUAAACAAAGUCUUCAGAGUGAUUUCUGCUUUAUGUAGGAAUAUGUUCAAACUUGUUUUUUCUCAUUCCAUUCUUUAAAAGGUGAUAAACUGGGCAGGAGUACAGCUGAUACCAACAAGAUAAAUGAAAUGUACGAUACUUGUUUACUGAACAAAGCUGAUAAAUUGUGUGCAAAAGUGUUAAGCUGUGAGAGGAGACAG
Long non-coding RNA from Lepidothrix coronata (blue-crowned manakin), 4910 nucleotides. RefSeq lists it as uncharacterized. The record is from RefSeq and is a predicted model, not a curated record. The transcript has 2 exons. Lineage: Eukaryota; Metazoa; Chordata; Aves; Passeriformes; Pipridae.